GAUGAACGCUGGCGGCGUGCCUAAUACAUGCAAGUCGAGCGAAUGGAUUGAGAGCUUGCUCUUAUGAAGUUAGCGGCGGACGGGUGAGUAACACGUGGGUAACCUGCCCAUAAGACUGGGAUAACUCCGGGAAACCGGGGCUAAUACCGGAUAACAUUUUGAACCGCAUGGUUCGAAAUUGAAAGGCGGCUUCGGCUGUCACUUAUGGAUGGACCCGCGUCGCAUUAGCUAGUUGGUGAGGUAACGGCUCACCAAGGCAACGAUGCGUAGGCGACCUGAGAGGGUGAUCGGCCAAACUGGGACUGAGACACGGCCCAGACUCCUACGGGAGGCAGCAGUAGGGAAUCCUCCGCAAUGGACGAAAGUCUGACGGAGCAACGCCGCGUGAGUGAUGAAGGCUUUCGGGUCGUAAAACUCUGUUGUUAGGGAAGAACAAGUGCUAGUUGAAUAAGCUGGCACCUUGACGGUACCUAACCAGAAAGCCACGGCUAACUACGUGCCAGCCGCCGCAGUAA
RNAcentral lists this ribosomal RNA (515 nucleotides) under uncultured bacterium. RNAcentral's name for it is "partial 16S ribosomal RNA". It matches the Rfam family "Bacterial small subunit ribosomal RNA", at positions 28 to 523 of the family's 1533-position model. The record is from RNAcentral.